This is a long non-coding RNA of Myotis myotis, 3007 nucleotides long. RefSeq lists it as uncharacterized. NCBI's taxonomy places the organism in Eukaryota, Metazoa, Chordata, Mammalia, Chiroptera, Vespertilionidae. The transcript is spliced from 2 exons. The record is from RefSeq and is a predicted model, not a curated record.
CCUGCAGGGUUCGGUGCGCGCGCGGCUGAGCGUUGGUGGCUCGAAGGAGGAGGCGGGGGAGGCAGGGUCCCCGCUGCGCAGGGCGGGCCUGAGGCUGGUUGAGCCCCAACACCCGGGACUGGGGUCCCCGAGCCUCCCCGACUCCUCUCCGCCGACAGAGGCCCCUCGGCCUCUCCCCAUCGGACCCUCCAGCCUCGGGGCCGGCGCCGCUCGGGUCCCGCCGCCCAGGGCGCAGCGUCCAGCGCACCAGUCCAUGGACUCUGCUGGUUCACCUCCCUUUCUUGUCCGCUGUGCUGCGGCUGCCAGUGCUGAGCUUUGUGGAGAGUCCUGAGCAAUGAACUCCUCGAGCAUCCCUAACACCCAUUGUUUCUCAAAAGGCAGAAAGUGUCUGGAGUCACGAAUUUUACAGACAGCUUCCCCUCAGAGGUAUGGACCAUCAUCCUGAGGGGGCACCAAGCUGGUGGGCAUCCUGCCCCUUCUCUCCUGGCAGGUAGGCCUGGCUGGCCUCUGAUUAUCGGGAGAUGGUGGUCUUUCCGAAGAGGUCACUUAGCACGUCAUCCCGGAAACUGGGGGAGUGUCCUCCAGAGAAGAGAGGAAGAACUGAAAGGCAAGCAAAGGGCAGGAGUGUCCUCAGAGAGCCCUCCCUUUCCCUACCCACCUCUCCCAGACGUCCCCUGUGCAGGCCACGAUGCCAGGACCAAAAUUUCCACUCCUACUCGGCCUGUUCACAGCCUAGCAUCACCCCAACACACAGCGUUCUUGGUCAGGAUGGCUGUGGCUUGGUGGCUGGGUCAGUGGAGGCACCUGUGCGGUCUAGGCUGCCUCUAUGGGGGGCCCCUCUCUUUGGAAUUAGGUCCCCAGGGCCUGGGGCAGAGAAGGACAGUGACAGAUGGGGCUGCAACAUCCCAUGCCAAGGUAGGGCGAUCCCACCAAGGCCUAGAAGCAGAGGCAGCAGGGAACACGGAGCCCUGAGUCAAAAGUGGGGCCGCGUUCCUCACAGGCUGUGGUCUGAAUGGGAGCCCCUGGCUGCAGACCUGAGCUGAGGCCCUGGGAGGCCAGCCCUUGCUCUAUCCAUGGCUCAGAAGGUGAGCCCUGAGCAGCUGGGAGAAAAUCCUCAUCUCUGCAUGGUGAUUUUGACCGCAAAAUCAGUUUUACCUUGUAUUUUGUGCUUUUCUCCAAUCUCUGAAUUUUCUACCAUGAACAUAUAGUCUUGUCAAAGGUAAUUGAAGAAAAAAGAAUUAGGGAAAGAACCCCUAAAAGACCUUCAACUCACUCAUAGUAAGUCAGGGGAUGGGCUCUCCAAAUACAAGUGGAAAAUGCAUGCGGUUGGAGUUCUAGUAGCAUUAGGACAAGGCUAUUUUGCCCAGAGUCUGGCUCCAGGCCGCCUGAGGACUCUGUGCCUAGAGCCACGCCCACUGUUGGGAUUCCUGCCCCUUCCACACUCUCCUAGGACCUACCCCCCAGCCCUCCAGCCAUUCAGUGUCUGCACUCAGUGUCUUCACUCCGUGAAGUUUGAAGCACCCACCUAUUACCACUUGAAAUGAAGGGGAAAUUUGGCUUUAAGUCUGGUGCAAUGGACCAGACAAGCAUCCACUGUAUGAAGUCAGCAUGUGGAGCAGAGAGGAGGAGAUGUUCAGACAGCAGCAAAGGCAGAGAGAUAUUGAGUUCCCAGCAGCUCACUCGGGAGAAGGCGAAGGGCAGCCCAGCACUUGGCAGCUCAGGAAUCAGAUCAGGUGCAUGAGAUCGAGUCAGUGCCGCAUCCACCGAAUGGGACAGUGUGAUGGUCACGCAUUUACUUUUAUGGCGACCUUUUUAUAUUCUGACACUGCUUUGCCAUUGAGAGGACCGAUUAUAACCUUUCCUUUUAAAAUAAAGGCAAGUGGAAAUGGUGAGUCGAUUUGAGGGGAAAGAUGUAAGUAAUCACAGAGGUGAUAUAAGCAGGGCAACGUCAGAGAGAUGGUACAAGGAUGACUGGAGACAAAAGGCCGUAGCUCAAGGCAUCUGGACCAGCACUCCCAGCUCUGUCAGUGACUGUGAGCUGAGGUUCUGUCUGUCCACUGCUGCUCUCACUGCAGCAUCCAAGAUGUCGCACACCCUUAGCACAGCCCUAAUGUCACUCUGGGCUGAAUCCUGGCUUGGCAAACUCGAUCCAGUUGUGCAAAAUGCUUGGGUGGAGCAAUAAAUACUUCAAAACAUAAAACAUAUCUGAAAGGGGACUUACUUGUAAAAGCCAAAGAUUUCCUGCUCUGACAAUGAGCUUGGAAUAAAGGGCAGCAGUUUGUGAUUUAGCUGCUCAAAAAUUGCUCUUCAGAGAAAAUCUUCCAAUGGAGGCCGCAAAUGUGAUAAAGCACAGUGACUGCUGAUGAGCUCUGCACUGCACACGGGCAUGACCUUCAAGCUGCAGGUUCUCGAGAGGGGGUAGCAAUCAGCCUGGGGACUUCCUGAGCACGGACAUUUUGGCCCAAGGACCUCUGUGUGUGUCCCGAGGCUCCUGUAAAACUGCACUGUGCUGGAGUACGGCCCAAAGGCUGUGACCAUUCAUCUCUUCUAAAAUCAGAACCCACAUUGGCUACUUCACCUUGGGGUCAGCAGGAGGCAUCCACUCUGUGUCAUCUGGCCUUUAGGUACGGGAGUAUUUUGUUAUUUGUGGGGUUUCUAACGUACUGGUUUUUUGUGUGCUUGCUUUUUUAUUUAAUUUCAGAAAUGAAGGAGGGUAUACAGUGAAGAUACUAAUAAAUGGAAAGGUUCGGAAAUCCAUAGGGUCGAAAAAACUGAAAGGCUAGUUAGGAGAGGGUGGCAUGUCAGCAGAAGAACAAAAUCUGAUAAGAACAGAUACUACACUUGAUCUUAGCCAAAAGGCCGAGAAGCGAUGAGAACAAAAUCUUAGACGUUUAGACAGAGCUCUACAGCCUAAAGGAGACUUGUCCUUGCUUUUCCUUCUCCAAAAGUGACUCUCUUUGCACCCAAUUGCUAAAUUGUUAUUCCCGGAUAACCCAAGAGAGGAAGG